Molecule: ribosomal RNA, 253 nt
Filed under: uncultured bacterium
Lineage: Bacteria
Description: partial 16S ribosomal RNA
Rfam family: Bacterial small subunit ribosomal RNA
Source: RNAcentral
UACGUAGGGUGCAAGCGUUGUCCGGAAUUAUUGGGCGUAAAGAGCUCGUAGGCGGUUUGUCGCGUCUGCUGUGAAAACUCGGGGCUUAACCCCGGGCCUGCAGUGGGUACGGGCAGACUAGAGUGCGGUAGGGGAGACUGGAAUUCCAGGUGUAGCGGUGAAAUGCGUAGAUAUCUGGAGGAACACCGGUGGCGAAGGCGGCAUCCUGGACCGGUAUUGACGCUGAGGCGCGAAAGCUAGGGGAGCAAACGGG